CCCACAGGCCGUAAACCCAAGGUUUCCAGGGGAAGGUUCGUCCGCCCUGGGUUAGUCGGGACCUAAGCUGAGGCCGAAAGGCGUAGGUGAUGGACAACAGGUUGAUAUUCCUGUACUACCGAUAACCGUUUGAGAGAAGGGAUGACACAGUAGGAUAAGCUAAGCACACUGUUGGUUAUGUGUGCCCAAGCAUUGAGGCAGUCAAAGUAGGCAAAUCCGCUUUGAUAAUGCUGGGAUGUGAUGGGGAGCGAAAUUUAGUAGCGAAGUAGCUGAUUUCACACUGUCAAGAAAAGUCUCUAUCGAGGUUAAAGGUACCCGUACCGCAAACCGACACAGGUGGGUGAGGAGAGUAUCCUAAGGCCAGCGAGAGAACUGUUGUUAAGGAACUCGGCAAAAUGACCCCGUAACUUAGGGAUAAGGGGUGCCACCAUCAGGUGGCCGCAGAGAAUAGGCCAAAGAGACUGUUUACCAAAAACAUAGGUUUCUGCUAAGUCGCAAGAC
Molecule: ribosomal RNA, 501 nt
Filed under: Clostridioides difficile
Lineage: Bacteria; Bacillati; Bacillota; Clostridia; Peptostreptococcales; Peptostreptococcaceae
Description: bacterial LSU rRNA
Rfam family: Bacterial large subunit ribosomal RNA
Source: RNAcentral